UGGAUAACUUGCUGAUCGUAUGGCUUGUGCGCGACGUUUCCAUUGAGUUUCUGCCCUAUCAACUGUUGGUAGGUAUUGGCUACCAAGGUUGCAACGGGUAACGGGGAAUCAGGGUUCGAUUCCGGAGAGGGAGCUGAGAAACGGCUACCACAUCCAAGGAAGGCAACAGGCGCGCAAAUUACCCAAUCUAGACAGUAGGAGGUGGUAAAGAGAAUUACUAAGUGGUGGUCGAAUUGAUCACUUGUUUGGAAUGAACGUAACUUAAGAAAUUCGAUGAUAAACAACUGGAGGGCAAGUCCUGGUGCCAGCAGCCGCGGUAAUUCCAGCUCCAGUAGUUUGCUUUAAAGUUGUUGCGUUUAAAACGCUCGUAGUUGGAUCACGCAGCAGUGUCUAGUAAUCUGCUUUCCGAUGCCGAUCAGUUGGACCGUCAUCGCACGGCCAGUGAGAGAAUUUGGGGGUAGAUGUUUUCGCUAGACACUGCUAGUUGCACGUGAGAUGGAUAGUUGGCCUUAAAUGAGCCGAUAAUCUCGUCUUGCGGGGUGUGCCUUGAAUAAAACAGAGUGCUCAAAGCAGGUCGUUGCCUGAAUGUUAUAGCAUGGAACGAACAAUCGUGUAUAUGUGCGCGUUUUCAGGCGGUAAUUGGUCUUUGGCUGAUUGUUGUUUGAGAUGCGCACGGCACCCACCAAAAUAUGGCUGUUGGUUCCAUAUACGGUGAUGAUUAAAAGGAGCGGUUGGGGGCAUCAGUAUUUGGCCGCGAGAGGUGAAAUUCUUAGACCGGCCAAGGACUAACAAAUGCAAAGGCACUUGUCUAGACCGUUUCCAUUAAUCAAGAACGAAAGUGGGAGGUUCGAAGACGAUCAGAUACCGUCAUAGUUCCCACCGUAAACUAUGCCGACCUGGGAUCAGUCUAGAGAUGUUUCAAGCUCUAGAUUGGUCCCCCUGGGAAACCUCAAGUUUUUCGGUUACGGGGAGAGUAUGGUCGCAAGGCUGAAACUUAAAGGAAUUGACGGAAGGGCACCACCAGGGGUGGAGCCUGCGGGCUUAAUUUGACUCAACACGGGGAAACUUACCUGGUCCGGACAUCGAUAGGAUUAUCAGAUCGAUAGCUCUUAUAUGAUACGAUGAGUGGUGGUGCAUGGCCGUUCUUAGUUCGUGGAGUGAUCUGUCAGCCUAAUGGCGGUAACGAACGAGACCACAGUCUCCAUUUAAGAGAUGGAAGAAGGCGGGCACAGUAUGUGAUUUCGGUCGCCAACCGUGUCCGCCACAGGAAGAGUGAUGCGCUCCUUGGGUGAGUGGGAGGGGGCAACCCUAAGCAUGAUAUCUUUGAGUGAGUCAUUUCUCCCUUCUAUUACGCAGCAGUUGAUUUCGAUUAGUUGUUGCCUUAUGGAGAGACAACGAGGGAUAAACAAGCUCGAGGAAGAGUGGGAAUAACAGGCCAGGGAUGCCCUUUGAUGUUCAGGGCUGCACGCGCGAUACAAUGAUAACGACAGAGAGUGUAUGCGUAGAAAGACGUGGGUAAUUUUUAAUUGUUAUCGUGAUGGGGAUUGACCGUUGUAAUUAUCGGUCAUGAAAGAGGAAUCCCUAGUAUGCGCAUUUU
This 1597-nucleotide ribosomal RNA is filed under the name Myxobolus dermiscalis. RNAcentral describes it as "SSU rRNA". It matches the Rfam family "Eukaryotic small subunit ribosomal RNA", at positions 254 to 1629 of the family's 1831-position model. Lineage: Eukaryota; Metazoa; Cnidaria; Myxozoa; Bivalvulida; Myxobolidae. The record is from RNAcentral.